Molecule: long non-coding RNA, 726 nt
Organism: Sinocyclocheilus grahami
Lineage: Eukaryota; Metazoa; Chordata; Actinopteri; Cypriniformes; Cyprinidae
Exons: 3
Source: RefSeq, a predicted model, not a curated record
AGCCGUCUAUGGUACCUGGUGACGCAAAUUAGAGGGCAAUUAGCCAUUUGUAUGAGCGAAUGCCACAUGUAAAGGGAGUGCCACUAGCACAGCAUUUCAGACACUGGAGGGGAGUGAAAAGGUGAAGCACUAUUGUGUGAAGGAGUCCAUAUUUAAAGAAGCCUCUAAUAGUUCUCGAAAAACUGUUUGAUGUGACCAGUAGGCAAGGCUGAUAGCCGUCGAUUGCGUUGUGACUCAAUUUGAAUUGUUUCAGUAAAGCGGCGCAAGAUCACGUUUUAUGAGGAUACAUUUGGCAAGCUGCAUCUAUGGUUCAGACGCAGCGCGUUGAGAAACGUGAAGGGGGAGAGAUUUUUCUUGUGUUUCUUUUGUAGUUUUCGUUUGUAUUGUAUUUCUUUGGGAAUUGUAUUUUAAUUUUAUUUGGGUAUCGAUGGUACAAACGGUACAAUUCACAGGUAAUGGCAUUGAGCAAUAUGCAAUAAUACCCUUUAAAGUUUAUCACAGAAGUGUGCUGAUUGCAGUGUAUCACGUGAAGGUGAUCGCUUAAUUUGUGGUGCGAUUCUCUGCGUGUGAAUUAGAGUAACUUAUUGUGUGUAGUGGGUUUUGUAUUUAAAGGGUUUAUGACCUGCCUUGCCUGUGUACACCACAUUAUACCCUCUUUUUACCUGUCAUGCUGUGAAAUGUUUUAGCAUUAUAUGUAAUAAGGAAUAAAGAGUUAGGUAUUUUGUA